GUCGAGCGAGUCUGCCUUGAAGAUCGGAGUGCUUGCACUCUGUGAAACAAGAUACAGGCUAGCGGCGGACGGGUGAGUAACACGUGGGUAACCUGCCCCAAGAGAUCGGGGAUAACACCUGGAAACAGAUGCUAAUACCCGGAUAACAACAGAUGAUGCCUAUCAACUGUUUAAAAGAUGGUUCUGCUAUCACUCUUGGGAUGGACCUGCGGUGCAUUAGCUAGUUGGUAGGGUAACGGCCUACCAAGGCGAUGAUGCAUAGCCGAGUUGAGAGACUGAUCGGCCACAUUGGGACUCCGAGACACGGCCCAAACUCCUACGGGAGGCAGCAGUAGGGAAAUCUUCCACAAUGGACGCAAGUCUGAUGGAGCAACGCCGCGUGAGUGAAGAAGGGUUUCGGCUCGUAAAGCUCUGUUGUUGGUGAAGAAGGACAGGGGUAGUAACUGACCUUUGUUUGACGGUAAUCAAUUAGAAAGUCACGGCUAACUACGUGCCCAGCAGCCGCGGGUAAU
RNAcentral lists this ribosomal RNA (512 nucleotides) under uncultured Lactobacillus sp. RNAcentral describes it as "bacterial SSU rRNA". It matches the Rfam family "Bacterial small subunit ribosomal RNA", at positions 61 to 524 of the family's 1533-position model. The record is from RNAcentral. Lineage: Bacteria; Bacillati; Bacillota; Bacilli; Lactobacillales; Lactobacillaceae.